Hippoglossus stenolepis (Pacific halibut) is the source of this 1436-nucleotide long non-coding RNA. RefSeq lists it as uncharacterized. Lineage: Eukaryota; Metazoa; Chordata; Actinopteri; Pleuronectiformes; Pleuronectidae. The record is from RefSeq and is a predicted model, not a curated record. The transcript is spliced from 13 exons.
GGAAGAGCUGCAGCACCUGAGCCCUGUCUGUCUGCCAGGAGAUGCUUUCAAAAUAUGAUCGCGACUCCGACUUACUGAAAAAGGCCAGCAUGAAGAUUCCAUCGUUUCCGACUCGCAGCUGAUCAGCGUCACUGAAAUCAUCUCUGGGAGGGAAUUCAUCGUCCUGACACAGACAAACCACAGCAGAUAAACGUGAGGCCGAGCUGGUGAUCCACACUCACCACUUGGUAUCGGCUCGCUGGGUCCAUCCCCGGUUCGGUUCAGCUGGGAGAUCCGGCCGAGGGAGGCAGAGGGGAGUCCGGCUGCUGAGUGUGUCCGAGCCUCGAGCGUCGCGACCCGGGGACGCUCCUGUCCAACUGUCGCUGGACAACAGAAGAGAGAAAUGGCUGCGACCCGCAGAAGUGCUGCUCAGGAAAAUAACUGGGAGUCCCGGGGAAGCAAGCUGCAGUGGGAGUCUGGCUAACUUGACGGCGGGGAUGAACACGGAUUUCCAAGAAUUGAAGAAUUGUGAUGACGCAAAUAAACACGCACAAUGAAGUGAAAUGAAGCCUAAACAUCCCAGGUCCGAACGCUGGCAUUUUGUGCCGAGGUCGUCAUUUGGAGCCAGAGACCAUAAUUUCAGCUGCUGCACCCACAGAAAGGCAGUGAAGUUGUCUGGAGGCGGUGCACCACAGUUGCAGAGAGAGCGUCUUCUGGUGGCUGCAUGGACUAACUGCAUGUGAUGUCAAACUCUCAGCAGAGGAGAGCGUCGGCGUCACUGGAGGUGAAGGACGACGACGCCAUUGUCCUCAAUGCUGCAGAGAAAAUAUCCUGAAGAUGACAGCAACAAUAAUUGCGAGACACAGAGCUGGACGCUGGUCUUCAGUACGACUUUGAGGUAACCCUGCCACCACCACUGUUUGAGCAUGAUGUUGAUGAAAAGGAUGCAGAAGGUGGGGAAGAGAGAGGAUUGAACCGAUGACAACCCUGGCUGCCUUGUUACCCGCAGGUGGAGCAAUUGGCAGGGGGCGGGGACAGGCAGCGCGGGUGUCUGAAGUGUCAGCUGAAGACUCGGAGAAUGAAGACAAGGUGUUCCAGGCUUUCAAUUGCAAUAGCGUUACAAGCCGAACCUGAGGGUACACUGAGGCCAAAGAAACGAAGCCUAAACAUCCCAGGUCCGAACGCUGGCAUCAUUUGGAGGCCAAGACAGUAAAUUCAGCUGCUGCACCUGCAGAAAGGCAGUGAAGUUGUCUGAAGGCGGUGCACCACAGUUGCAGAGAGAGAGCAUCCUCUGGUGGUUGCAUGGACUAACUGCAUGUGAUGUAAAGCUCUCAGCAGGUCAGAGGCAGCGUCGCUGCUGAAAUUGGCAUCAAUCCACAACUGGGAAAAGAGUCAAAGGUAGCAGCACGAAUCUCUGCCUGCCUGACUGACAUCUCUCAGUGGAUGUGGUCCAGGCC